AGUGCAAGUAGCUCAAGCCAAGCAAGGUCGAAGCCAGGUUGACCACGUGACCGUAUGUCAACGGACCGUCAAGGCCUGUUUCAUCGGACCGCUCUGCCGAUCUCUCGGCGUGGAGGAAACGUAAACAAAGGAAAUGUACUCUCUUGUCCAUUUUUUGGCGGAAAAUGACGUCGCAGUUGUCCCUACCUGUUGGGUGUGCAAUGGCUGCACGGCAUGGCCACCCUACAAAUCAAAUCGGUUGAUGAUGGCAAUUAGAGAGCGUGAAGAGCUUUCGACUGACUGGGCCACAUUCUCCUGUCAGGUGAUGGCAUCAUGUUUGACAUAUGAAGAUGCAAAGUACAAAGAAAAAAAAUUCGGGAGCGACGUCCGACCUAACAUUGAAUAAUGAAGAGCGGGAGAAGAGAAAAAGGAAGAGACUGCAGCAUACUCUUUCUUCAUUUGAGGAUGAGGACUUCUAUGACCAAGGUGUAUGCACCUAAAUUUCUGCAACACCUUUGUAUUCGGGAUUCAUUUGCCCUCCUUUUUCAUCAAGCUUGCCUCUUAUCCAGGAACGACGUAACACUCAGCCAGCCCCUCAACUUCCAGAACGUGCACCAGAGCCCAAGCAAAAACGCACACGUGUAUGUUUGCUUUUUGUUGCUGCAAUUUCUUAACGCUUUCCAGCAUUUAGAUUUUUUAUUUUAUGUGAUUAGCCUCAGCUUGGUUAGCCGCAAUUGUGAUAAUGGAUGGUAUCCAUAUUGUUUAUUGAGCACCUGCUGUUUUGGUGUUUCUUUUAGAGCGCAGCUCUUAGGUGCCCGUUUCCGGCUUGAGUGGUGUCGCCGUCACCGUAACCGCGGCGACGUUUCGGCAAGGUUACGUUUCGGCACCAUGCCAAAUUGUCCUCGCGGGGUCACGUGACCCCCGUCAGGAGGGUCACGUGACCUCACGGUUACGGCGACACCGCUCAGAGGGAGGUGUGGCAGGGAGGAGGGGUAUACCCUUUCCUCGGGACCCUUCCCUCCUCCUCUAGAGCUGCACUCUAAUUUAGCGUUACAGGGAGUUGUAAACGGCUUUCAUUUUUUUAUCUAGUCAUUUUUAAUUUUACAAAGCUGCUAGUUGUGGUAUGCUUCCUCGCACAAGGACAGUUAUAGCCUAAGGGAUGGUGAAGUGGAUAUUUUUAAUUUGACGGUGCAUAUGUUUGCUUUGUAUUGCUGCAACCUCAUGUUUGCAUAAUUCUGCUGUACUAGUCAUUUUUAUUUUACAAUUUAAUUUAUUUUGUUUAUUUAUCUAUGCUUUCUGGUCAAAGGAUUGAUUAGAAUGCUUGCUGUUUGUGCACUCUAACCCUAGCACUUUUUAUGAACCUGUCCUCUGCUUUAUAUGUGGAAUGGUUUGGGCAGCGUUAGGAUUGACCACUUCUUAAAGAAAGGUGGUACAUUUUGUUUUACACCACCGAGCACUCUUUGGUGUAAGGUACAUUACCAUAUAGCUGAAUGACACAAUCAGCUAUACACGUUUGCAAGCAGUCAUGUUUCCAAAAGUAGUCUAGCCACCAUGGGUAGGGAAACGUGCUCUCAGGGUACCAAUCUGUCAAUUAGGUUAGUGACGCUUUAGCAAGCCUUCAUAAUCGGAUUAUCUGGGGUGCACCCGAGCUGGAAGAUGGCAGCGCGCAAGGGCCCGCCAUUUUGCAGACUCUGUCUCAUUUUUGUUAGUGAGAGAAAACAAAGGCUUCUUCACUAUCAUCUAGGAAAACCACAUGUCCAAUAUUAUCUCCAUUUAAAUCUUUAUGAAAUGGAUCAGCAAACUGCUAACCCUAGCUGACAAUGUAGGCGCAAACGACAGCGCAGUUGCUACUACGGCUUCAGUGCACCAAACAUCAAUUUACUAUGUCAGGUGCAUUGUUACGUUUUCUUUGUUUUUUCCAUGCACAGUCAGUCCUUGACUUGAGCAAUGUCUUCUCCAAAAGUUGGUUCAGCGGUGUCCGCAUGAUUGGCACAGACCUGGAUGUGCACGUUUCUCAUGGUUCACCUCUGUUAAAUAAUAAUGGCAUUGUUUGCACAAUGUUCACAUACUCAAUGGCUUAUUUAUGUACUAUUUAGUAGACCUCGCUGCAUACUAAUGUUCCUGAGAUAUUUAUUCCUUUGAGAAAACUUGGCUUUAGCGUAGGUUGCAGUGGUGCGGAUGUCGUCCGACACGGAGCAGACAACACUCAGGCCAGUCUGUUUGCGUCGUCCUCGCAGGGGUAGCAUAUCAUCAUUUGUACCAUGGGAUUGGUCAUGUCUCCUCCGUCUCUGCCAUUGUUGCCUGUAGAAGCCGAUGUUUCGGGUUUUAUUUGGGCUAUGUUUAAAGCAAAAUUGCAUAGGAAAUAUUCCACCAAUGCAUGAAAUAAAAUAGUUAUUUUUAUAUUUCUUUUUAAAUUUAUUUUUUAUUUUUAUUUAAAGUCUUAUAAUUCCAAAAGUUUUGGAAUUAAGCAGAGUUGCCUUUUAACAACAAAUGGCUAUAGCUAAACAGGGCACACAAGUGAGGAGCUUUUUUUUUUCUAAAAAGGCGAAAACCACAUGAAGCAAAACAGAUAAAUUGGUAUGUUUGCUUAUCAGUAUAGCUUUGAGCCAUGUGCCGCAGCCACCUCUGCUGUGGUUUUUAUAGCGUACUCUGACCGAUUUCACUGUAGUAGCAUUUGAGAUCGAUGGACCAAC
Long non-coding RNA from Ixodes scapularis (black-legged tick), 2672 nucleotides. RefSeq lists it as uncharacterized. The transcript is spliced from 3 exons. NCBI's taxonomy places the organism in Eukaryota, Metazoa, Arthropoda, Arachnida, Ixodida, Ixodidae. The record is from RefSeq and is a predicted model, not a curated record.